This 2102-nucleotide long non-coding RNA is filed under the name Homo sapiens (human). RNAcentral describes it as "non-protein coding lnc-CCAR2-6:1". The record is from RNAcentral. Lineage: Eukaryota; Metazoa; Chordata; Mammalia; Primates; Hominidae.
ACUUUUAGCUUCUCCUUUCCCUGGCCUGGCAGCAGGCAAGGGGCCAGAGUUGAAACACAGGUCUGGAGCAGUUGCCAAGGUCACGGAGGUAUCAAUGGUAAAAAUUCUAUGUGAAUUCAGAUCUGCUCAGUAAGAAAACUUGUGUUUUUAAAUGGCAUCACUGAAUGCAUGUACUAGGCUUUCUUCCUAUCCCUUGGCUGCUGAGUGCUGACACCUGGACCCAUUGCUGUCACCAUUAUCAUCACCAUCACCAUCACCAUGAUCAUCAUCACCAUCACCAUCACCUCAUCAUCACCAUUACCAUCACCAUGAUCAUCAUCACCAUCACCUCAUCAUCACCAUUACCAUCACCAUGAUCAUCAUCACCAUCACCAUCAUCAUCACCAUCACCAUCACCUCAUCAUCACCAUUACCAUCACCAUGAUCAUCACCAUCACCAUCAUCAUCACCAUCACCAUCACCAUCACCUCAUCAUCACCAUUACCAUCACAAUGAUCAUGAUCACCAUCACUUCAUCAUCACCAUUACCAUCACAAUGAUCAUGAUCACCAUCACUUCAUCAUCACCAUUACCAUCACCAUGAUCAUCACCAUCACCAUCACCUCAUCAUCACCAUUACCAUCACAAUGAUCAUGAUCACCAUCACUUCAUCAUCACCAUUACCAUCACCCAUCACUAUGAUGAUGAUCAUCACCACCACCAUCACCAUGAUCAUCAUUACCAUCACCAUCACCAUCACCAUCACCUUAUCAUCACCAUCACAUCACCAUGAUCAUCAUCGCCAUCACCAUCAUCAUCACCAUCACCAUCAUCAUCACCAUCACCAUCACUUCAUUAUCACCAUCACCAUCAUCAUCACCAUCACCAUCACUUCAUUAUCACCAUCACCAUGAUUAUCAUCAUCACCAUCGUCUCAUUAUCACCAUCACCAUCAUCCGCAUCAUCACCCAUUACCAUCAUCAUCACCAUCAUCAAUAUCAUCACCCUGGAGCCUUCCUAGGUGGCUUUCCCUUCUUUUCUACCUUUCUUCCUUACCUAAAAGCAGUUAUUAUACAGGAAUGAUGGGGAGGGAGAGGGGUCAUUCAAUGGACUAAGGAUGGCAAACUGUUGGGAUAGUGGCUGUGGGCAGGUGGGGAGGGACGGUAAUGGCCUUGGGCUGGACCAGGCUAUUGACUUGAGUAUCCAGGAACUCUGGCCAUCCCCACAAAUCACACAUGGCCCAGGAUGGCUCAACCUGGAGUAAGGAAAGUCACUUGGAGAAGAGUCCCCUUAAUUUAUUCUGGAAAUUCCGGCCGUCUCUCUUUGUCCCACUCUAGAUCCUGAUCUGGCUUUUAUUUUAUAUAGCCAAGAGAGUAAAAUUAGAGUCCAGUUUUCCUCUAAAUACUACACCUGAGGAGGCUUGAGUUAACACCAGAUUCCACCAUGACUAGUUAUGGAAUAGGGAGUAGGUUCCUUAACUUACAGGAAUGUCAGUUUUCUCAUCUCUAAAAUAAGAAUAACAUCCACUUUAUUAGGGUGUUGUGACAAUCAAAUGAGAGAACAUGUAUGAAGGCCCCCAGAAGGCCAUGAAGUAGCGUGGGGAUGCAUUCAGUGAGAUACCACACAUUAGGCAUUUUGUGUAGAACCUGAUAUGCAGAAAGUGCUCGAUAAAUGCAUCUGAUUACAAUGAUGAUAAUAAUAAUGUCAGUUCUCUUUACCUGGUAAAGGGGUCGCUAAUGCUCCCUUAUAUUUUUCUUAGCUGCUUCAUUGGAGAUCUCAAAGCAAUUUAGCUGUUCAUCUUGUUUCUUCCUGGAGGAGGUGGUGCAAAGAAAAGGGAUGAGAGGCCCAAAGGGUUCUGCAGGCGGAAAGCGCCGUCAAGGCUGGGUUUUCCCCAAGGUCCCCAUGGCCUCCAGGUUUCCCCUCUCCACAACUGGGACCUCCUUCCCUGUGGUUUCCAGGGAUCGCCUGGCCAGGGCUGGCUUCAGCCUAGAGCCUGGGCCAGCUUUGUUCUUUUUUCACGUUUUGGGACCAGGAGGGUGGGGGUCUCUCCAGCAGCUAAACUCAAAGCCCAAAAUGUCAAGUCAAAAGGAAGGAGGGGGUUGGGGGAAGGAAAGAAAGCAAGC